Molecule: ribosomal RNA, 1437 nt
Filed under: uncultured organism
Description: SSU rRNA
Rfam family: Bacterial small subunit ribosomal RNA
Source: RNAcentral
GCUAGCGACAGGCUUAACACAUGCAAGUCGAGGGGUUGCACAGGUAGCAAUACCGGGUGGCGACCGGCGCACGGGUGAGUAACGCGUAUGCAACUUGCCUAUCAGAGGGGGAUAACCCGGCGAAAGUCGGACUAAUACCGCAUGAAGCAGGGAUCCCGCAUGGGAAUAUUUGCUAAAGAUUCAUCGCUGAUAGAUAGGCAUGCGUUCCAUUAGGCAGUUGGCGGGGUAACGGCCCACCAAACCGACGAUGGAUAGGGGUUCUGAGAGGAAGGUCCCCCACAUUGGUACUGAGACACGGACCAAACUCCUACGGGAGGCAGCAGUGAGGAAUAUUGGUCAAUGGGCGUAAGCCUGAACCAGCCAAGUCGCGUGAGGGAUGAAGGUUCUAUGGAUCGUAAACCUCUUUUAUAAGGGAAUAAAGUGACCCACGUGUGGGUUUUUGUAUGUACCUUAUGAAUAAGGAUCGGCUAACUCCGUGCCAGCAGCCGCGGUAAUACGGAGGAUCCGAGCGUUAUCCGGAUUUAUUGGGUUUAAAGGGUGCGUAGGCGGCCUUUUAAGUCAGCGGUGAAAGUCUGUGGCUCAACCAUAGAAUUGCCGUUGAAACUGGGGGGCUUGAGUAUGUUUGAGGCAGGCGGAAUGCGCGGUGUAGCGGUGAAAUGCAUAGAUAUCACGCAGAACCCCGAUUGCGAAGGCAGCCUGCCAAGCCAUGACUGACGCUGAUGCACGAAAGCGUGGGGAUCAAACAGGAUUAGAUACCCCGGUAGUCCACGCAGUAAACGAUGAUCACUAGCUGUUUGCGAUACACUGUAAGCGGCACAGCGAAAGCGUUAAGUGAUCCACCUGGGGAGUACGCCGGCAACGGUGAAACUCAAAGGAAUUGACGGGGGCCCGCACAAGCGGAGGAACAUGUGGUUUAAUUCGAUGAUACGCGAGGAACCUUACCCGGGUUUGAACGCAUUCGGACCGAGGUGGAAACACCUCUUCUAGCAAUAGCCGUUUGCGAGGUGCUGCAUGGUUGUCGUCAGCUCGUGCCGUGAGGUGUCGGCUUAAGUGCCAUAACGAGCGCAACCCUUGCCACUAGUUACUAACAGGUAAAGCUGAGGACUCUGGUGGGACUGCCAGCGUAAGCUGCGAGGAAGGCGGGGAUGACGUCAAAUCAGCACGGCCCUUACAUCCGGGGCGACACACGUGUUACAAUGGCGUGGACAAAGGGAAGCCACCUGGCGACAGGGAGCGAAUCCCCAAACCACGUCUCAGUUCGGAUCGGAGUCUGCAACCCGACUCCGUGAAGCUGGAUUCGCUAGUAAUCGCGCAUCAGCCAUGGCGCGGUGAAUACGUUCCCGGGCCUUGUACACACCGCCCGUCAAGCCAUGGGAGCCGGGGGUACCUGAAGUCCGUAACCGCGAGGAUCGGCCUAGGGUAAAACUGGUGACUGGG